This is a long non-coding RNA of Calidris pugnax (ruff), 1019 nucleotides long. RefSeq lists it as uncharacterized. Lineage: Eukaryota; Metazoa; Chordata; Aves; Charadriiformes; Scolopacidae. The record is from RefSeq and is a predicted model, not a curated record. The transcript has 7 exons.
AUUAAAAUGAACAAGCUUUGAAAAUGCUCAUUGCUUGCAAGAAUGCCUCCCUUCCUCUUGACUUCUAAUUUACCAGAGCGGCCAAGUCCAGAGAGCUUCAGAGGGAGUUCAAACUCAGAAGAUCUGACUUUGUCAACUCUUUACAGACCUACCUACCUAGGACUACUUUUUUGAGACUGGAAAAGGGACCUUUGGAAAGAGAGCUUCAUCAUGGAAGGAGAAAGUGCUUGGAGGUUCUUCACAGGAGAGAUGGUCUUGUAUGCUGAGUGACCGGUGACACACUGAACCAGGAUGGGUAAAAAUUCUCUGGGCCCCAGCAAGCUGACAGAUACAGUCGGCAAACAUAGCUGUGACAGGAGAGCUAUGAAAAGCGCUAACAGGAGUGAAUACCCUUCACCAGCUCCCAGCACCAGGAGUUUUUGCUAUCUGUAGCUUCCCUUUUGGACCCUCAUCAAGCCACCACUCACUGUGUUACCAGUAGUGGGGAGAAGCCCACCAGCACCGGCACGUGGCUGUGCUGCCAAUCAGCCAUGGUGAGAAGGCUCCUGGCCCCUGUGAGGCUCCUGCUGUCUGCCCAGCACCAUGACCACUCCUGAUUAGACGGACGCUGGAGCUGCACAGAAUAAGCACAAAGGGAGGGCUUUGGGUGAAAAGGUGGCAUCUCCCUGCAGGCUGUUGUAUAGACAAGGAUCCAUGUGAAGCUCAAAUGCCUUUCUCUGAAAAUAUUUAGACAUUCUUGUGAAAAAUAAACACGGCUGUCUCACUGUUGGCUGACUGAAGCACGACGAUUAACUAGAGCUGGGCGAAUUCUGUGUAGUUCAGUGUGAACUUGCCAGUUCUCUGACGGUUUCAUCUCCACCAUCCCUCUGACUGGCCAACGUUUAUUCCAGAUACUGGGCGCUUGCUCUGUUACCAAGAGCAGCAGCAAGGAAGAGCAGCAGGAGCAGGACACUGAGGUACCGCGGCAGGAAGCAGCAGUGGGAAGCGUGACGUCUUUACCCAGGUGUUGGCUGCCAGAG